This 101-nucleotide non-coding RNA is filed under the name Picochlorum sp. RCC944. The record is from RNAcentral. Lineage: Eukaryota; Viridiplantae; Chlorophyta; Trebouxiophyceae.
GAGAGAAGCAAACGAGAGAGAAACACCACAGGGGCGAGUUUUUUUUUUUUUUUUUUUUUCUUUUCGGUUCAUUUUUUCCCCUUCUUCUUCACCUUGUUCCU